This 1431-nucleotide ribosomal RNA is filed under the name uncultured organism. RNAcentral's name for it is "SSU rRNA". It matches the Rfam family "Bacterial small subunit ribosomal RNA". The record is from RNAcentral.
UAUGAACGCUAGCUACAGGCUUAACACAUGCAAGUCGAGGGGCAGCAUUUCAGUUUGCUUGCAAACUGGAGAUGGCGACCGGCGCACGGGUGAGUAACACGUAUCCAACCUGCCGAUAACUCGGGGAUAGCCUUUCGAAAGAAAGAUUAAUACCCGAUGGUAUAAUCAGACCGCAUGGUCUUGUUAUUAAAGAAUUUCGGUUAUCGAUGGGGAUGCGUUCCAUUAGGCAGUUGGUGAGGUAACGGCUCACCAAACCUUCGAUGGAUAGGGGUUCUGAGAGGAAGGUCCCCCACAUUGGAACUGAGACACGGUCCAAACUCCUACGGGAGGCAGCAGUGAGGAAUAUUGGUCAAUGGGCGCAGGCCUGAACCAGCCAAGUAGCGUGAAGGAUGACUGCCCUAUGGGUUGUAAACUUCUUUUAUAUGGGAAUAAAGUUUUCCACGUGUGGAAUUUUGUAUGUACCAUAUGAAUAAGGAUCGGCUAACUCCGUGCCAGCAGCCGCGGUAAUACGGAGGAUCCGAGCGUUAUCCGGAUUUAUUGGGUUUAAAGGGAGCGUAGGUGGACAGUUAAGUCAGUUGUGAAAGUUUGCGGCUCAACCGUAAAAUUGCAGUUGAUACUGGCUGUCUUGAGUACAGUAGAGGUGGGCGGAAUUCGUGGUGUAGCGGUGAAAUGCUUAGAUAUCACGAAGAACUCCGAUUGCGAAGGCAGCUCACUGGACUGCAACUGACACUGAUGCUCGAAAGUGUGGGUAUCAAACAGGAUUAGAUACCCUGGUAGUCCACACAGUAAACGAUGAAUACUCGCUGUUUGCGAUAUACAGUAAGCGGCCAAGCGAAAGCAUUAAGUAUUCCACCUGGGGAGUACGCCGGCAACGGUGAAACUCAAAGGAAUUGACGGGGGCCCGCACAAGCGGAGGAACAUGUGGUUUAAUUCGAUGAUACGCGAGGAACCUUACCCGGGCUUAAAUUGCAUUUGAAUAAUCUGGAAACAGGUUAGCCGCAAGGCAAAUGUGAAGGUGCUGCAUGGUUGUCGUCAGCUCGUGCCGUGAGGUGUCGGCUUAAGUGCCAUAACGAGCGCAACCCUUAUCUUUAGUUACUAACAGGUCAUGCUGAGGACUCUAGAGAGACUGCCGUCGUAAGAUGUGAGGAAGGUGGGGAUGACGUCAAAUCAGCACGGCCCUUACGUCCGGGGCUACACACGUGUUACAAUGGGGGGUACAGAAGGCAGCUACCUGGUGACAGGAUGCUAAUCCCAAAAGCCUCUCUCAGUUCGGAUCGAAGUCUGCAGCCCGACUUCGUGAAGCUGGAUUCGCUAGUAAUCGCGCAUCAGCCAUGGCGCGGUGAAUACGUUCCCGGGCCUUGUACACACCGCCCGUCAAGCCAUGAAAGCCGGGGGUACCUGAAGUGCGUAACCGCGAGGAGCGCCCUAGGG